UACGAAGGGGGCGAGCGUUGUUCGGAUUUACUGGGCGUAAAGGGCGCGCAGGCGGCUCAUUUUGUCAGGCGUGAAAGCCCCGGGCUUAACCUGGGAGGUGCGUUUGAUACGGAUGGGCUAGAGUUCGGGAGAGGAGAGUGGAAUUCCCAGUGUAGAGGUGAAAUUCGUAGAUAUUGGGAAGAACACCAGUGGCGAAGGCGACUCGCUGGACAAGUAUUGACGCUGAGGUGCGAAAGCGUGGGGAGCAAACAGG
This 253-nucleotide ribosomal RNA is filed under the name uncultured bacterium. RNAcentral describes it as "partial 16S ribosomal RNA". It matches the Rfam family "Bacterial small subunit ribosomal RNA", at positions 524 to 776 of the family's 1533-position model. The record is from RNAcentral.